UCAGAGAGUUCACCAGGGACAUAGAGUAAUGAGGAUCAAGCCCAGGGCCUUGCAUCUGCUGAGCAAAUCUACCACUGAGCUACAUCUGUAGACUUUUUAUCCAAUUAUAGUAUAAUACACAUUUCUCGUGAACACAACAGUGUUCUAUGGUGUAGU
This is a long non-coding RNA of Perognathus longimembris pacificus (Pacific pocket mouse), 156 nucleotides long. RefSeq lists it as uncharacterized. The record is from RefSeq and is a predicted model, not a curated record. NCBI's taxonomy places the organism in Eukaryota, Metazoa, Chordata, Mammalia, Rodentia, Heteromyidae. The transcript has 4 exons.